GACGAACGCUGGCGGCGUGCUUAACACAUGCAAGUCGAACGGUGACCCAGGGCUUGCCCUGGCGAUCAGUGGCGAACGGGUGAGUAACACGUGGGCAACCUGCCCCUGACUUCGGGAUAACUCCUCGAAAGAGGUGCUAAUACCGAAUACGACCACUUCGGGCAUCCGAUGGUGGUGGAAAGAAUUUUGGUCAGGGAUGGGCCCGCGGCCUAUCAGCUUGUUGGUGGGGUAACGGCCCACCAAGGCGACGACGGGUAGCCGGCCUGAGAGGGCGACCGGCCACACUGGGACUGAGACACGGCCCAGACUCCUACGGGAGGCAGCAGUGGGGAAUAUUGCGCAAUGGGCGAAAGCCUGACGCAGCGACGCCGCGUGAGGGACGAAGGCCUUCGGGUUGUAAACCUCUUUCAGCAGGGACGAAGCGAAAGUGACUGUACCUGCAGAAGAAGCACCGGCUAACUACGUG
Molecule: ribosomal RNA, 466 nt
Filed under: uncultured organism
Description: bacterial SSU rRNA
Rfam family: Bacterial small subunit ribosomal RNA
Source: RNAcentral